Molecule: unclassified non-coding RNA, 240 nt
Filed under: soil metagenome
Description: partial contains 5.8S ribosomal RNA, internal transcribed spacer 2, and large subunit ribosomal RNA
Source: RNAcentral
AACCUUAUGGACCUGCGGGCGUAUACCUGCGGAAGGAUCAUUACCGAGUUAGGGUAGUUACUCGCUGCCCGACCUCCCAACCCUGUGUCUACCACACUUUGUCGUUGCUUCGGCGGACCGGUCGACCAACUGGUCGUGACCGCCGGGGGCUGGCUCUGUCACCCCUGGAGAGCGUCCGCCGAUGGCCCAACCACAAACUCUUGUACCGAAACGUGUCGUCUGAAUAAUUGAGAAAUCAAA